UAUUGCAAUUUACCUGGACAUCUUUGAACAGUUUUACAACCAACUAACACCAGAACAAAACAUUUCCUGCUUUUUCCGACAAGAUGGGGCAACAUGCCACACCUCAUGUAACUCACUGGCAAGGGUUCAUGAACUGUUGGAUGAGCGAAC
Long non-coding RNA from Bufo bufo (common toad), 150 nucleotides. RefSeq lists it as uncharacterized. The record is from RefSeq and is a predicted model, not a curated record. NCBI's taxonomy places the organism in Eukaryota, Metazoa, Chordata, Amphibia, Anura, Bufonidae. The transcript is spliced from 3 exons.